CGCGCAGGCGGCGUCGUAAGUCGGUCUUAAAAGUGCGGGGCUUAACCCCGUGAGGGGACCGAAACUGCGAUGCUAGAGUAUCGGAGAGGAAAGCGGAAUUCCUAGUGUAGCGGUGAAAUGCGUAGAUAUUAGGAGGAACACCAGUGGCGAAAGCGGCUUUCUGGAUGACAACUGACGCUGAGGCGCGAAAGCGUGGGGAGCGAACA
This 206-nucleotide ribosomal RNA is filed under the name uncultured bacterium. RNAcentral describes it as "partial 16S ribosomal RNA". It matches the Rfam family "Bacterial small subunit ribosomal RNA", at positions 568 to 774 of the family's 1533-position model. The record is from RNAcentral.